Molecule: ribosomal RNA, 253 nt
Filed under: uncultured bacterium
Lineage: Bacteria
Description: partial 16S ribosomal RNA
Rfam family: Bacterial small subunit ribosomal RNA
Source: RNAcentral
UACGUAGGGGGCAAGCGUUGUCCGGAUUUAUUGGGCGUAAAGAGCGUGUAGGCGGCCAGGUAGGUCUGCUGUGAAAACUCGAGGCUUAACCUCGAGCUGUCGGCGGAAACCAUCUGGCUAGAGUCCGGAAGAGGAGAAUGGAAUUCCCGGUUUAGCGGUGAAAUGCGCAGAUAUCGGGAAGAACACCCGUGGCGAAGGCGGUUCUCUGGGACGGUACUGACGCUGAGACGCGAAAGCGUGGGGAGCGAACAGG